This 774-nucleotide ribosomal RNA is filed under the name uncultured Neocallimastigales. RNAcentral describes it as "partial large subunit ribosomal RNA". It matches the Rfam family "Eukaryotic large subunit ribosomal RNA", at positions 24 to 645 of the family's 3401-position model. The record is from RNAcentral. Lineage: Eukaryota; Fungi; Neocallimastigomycota; Neocallimastigomycetes; Neocallimastigales.
UAUCUCUGUAGAGUCUGCAUAUCAAUAAGCGGAGGAAAAGAAACUAACUAGGAUUCCCUCAGUAACGGCGAGUGAAGCGGGAAGAGCUCAAAUUUGAAAUCUUAAGGUUCUACCUUGACGAAUUGUAGUUUAAAGAAGUGUUUUCUGUUGGAGUUUUGGUAAAAGUUCUUUGGAAUAGGACAUCAUAGAGGGUGAGAAUCCCGUAUUUGACCAUUAUUUCCAGCUUUGUGAUACACUUUCAAAGAGUCGGAUUGUUUGGGAAUGCAGUCCAAAAUGGGUGGUAAAUUUCAUCUAAAGCUAAAUAUCGGCGAGAGACCGAUAGCGAACAAGUACCGUGAGGGAAAGAUGAAAAGAACUUUGAAAAGAGAGUUAAACAGUACGUGAAAUUGUCAAAAGGGAAGCGUUUGACACCAGUGUUGUUUUCUCGAAAAUCAAUUAAAAAAGGCAGGAUUUUGUGUUGCUAUUGACUUUAUCAGCUUUCUGCACUCUUUUCUUGUCUUUUUUAAUGCACUUUUCGUUUAACAAGUCAACAUCAAUUUCUUUUGUUGUAAAAGGGUCAUUGGAAGGUGGCUUUCUUUUCGGAGAAAGUGUUUAUAGCCUUUGGCCUCUGCAAUCGGAGAGAUUGAGGUCUGCAGCGUAGAUCCUUCGGGGUUAGAUACAUUUGUGCUAAGUUAUAGCCUUUCAUAGACAACUUGUUGACUAUGAUCAGUCAUGUAGCUUACUCGCUUAUGCUAUUUUACCUACGCUUAGGAUGUUGAAGUCAUCGUAUCGCGC